RNAcentral lists this ribosomal RNA (2020 nucleotides) under mouse gut metagenome. RNAcentral describes it as "bacterial LSU rRNA". It matches the Rfam family "Bacterial large subunit ribosomal RNA", at positions 831 to 2856 of the family's 2925-position model. The record is from RNAcentral.
AAUCGAACUCGGAGAUAGCUGGUUCUCCCCGAAAUAGCUUUAGGGCUAGCGUCGAGGUAAAGUCGUGUGAAGGUAGAGCACUGAAUAUGUGAUGGCCCCAUCCCGGGGUACUGAAUAUAAUCAAACUCCGAAUGUCACAAAGAUAUACUCGGCAGUCAGACAGUGGGUGAUAAGGUCCAUUGUCAAAAGGGAAACAGCCCAGACCAUCAGCUAAGGUCCCAAAAUAUAUACUAAGUGGAAAAGGAUGUGGAGAUGUCCAGACAACUAGGAGGUUGGCUCAGAAGCAGCCAUCCUUUAAAGAGUGCGUAACAGCUCACUAGUCGAAUGACUCUGCGCCGAUAAUUUACCGGGGCUAAGUAUAUUACCGAAGCUAUGGAUUUACGCAGAAGCGUGAGUGGUAGGGGAGCGUUCUAUGUACAGAGAAGCGGUACCGGAAGGAGCCGUGGAGAGCAUAGAAGAGAGAAUGCCGGUGUGAGUAGCGGAACGCGGGUGAGAAUCCCGCGCACCGAAAACCCAAGGUUUCCAGAGGAAGGUUCGUCCGCUCUGGGUAAGUCGGGACCUAAGGCGAGGCCGAGAGGCGUAGUCGAUGGACAACAGGUAGAGAUUCCUGUACUUACGGUAUGAAUGAAGGAGUGACGGAGAAGGCUAGCGGAUCCUGCUGCUGGAAUAGCAGGUGCAAGCGAGGUAGCUGACAGCCAGGCAAAUCCGGCUGUCGAAAGGCGAAGACGUGAAGCGGAUGGAAAGCUGAGGCAAGUACAGAAGUCCGUGAAGCAGGCUUCCAAGAAAAGCUUCUAGUGUUAAUCAUACAGUAACCCGUACCGAAAAUGGACACACAUGGGUGAGGAGAGAAUCCUAAGGUGAGCGAGAGAACUAUAGCUAAGGAACUCUGCAAAAUGACUCCGUAACUUAGGGAUAAGGAGUGCUCAUAGAGAUAUGAGCCGCAGUGAAACGGCCCAAGCGACUGUUUACCAAAAACACAGCUCUAUGCUAAGUCGAAAGACGACGUAUAUGGGGUGACGCCUGCCCGGUGCUGGAAGGUUAAGAGGAUGUGUCAGCGAAAGCGAAGCAUUGAAUUGAAGCCCCAGUAAACGGCGGCCGUAACUAUAACGGUCCUAAGGUAGCGAAAUUCCUUGUCAGGUAAGUUCUGACCCGCACGAAAGGCGUAACGAUUUGGGCGCUGUCUCAGCUGUAGACUCGGUGAAGUCUUAGUACCUGUGAAGAUGCAGGUUACCCGCGACUAGACGGAAAGACCCCAUGGAGCUUUACUGCAGCUUGAUAUUGGACUUUGAUGCAAGAUGUACAGGAUAGGUAGGAGACUGAGAGACAUGCACGCCAGUGUGUGAGGAGUCGAUGUUGGGAUACUACUCUUCUUGUAUUGGAGUUCUAACCGGAUGCCAUGGAACUGGCAACGGGACAGUGUCAGGCGGGCAGUUUGACUGGGGCGGUCGCCUCCCAAAGAGUAACGGAGGCGCCCAAAGAUACCCUCAGCUUGGAUGGAAAUCAAGCGCAGAGUGCAAAGGCAUAAGGGUGUUUGACUGCGAGACCAACAAGUCGAGCAGGGACGAAAGUCGGGCUUAGUGAUCCGGCGGUGCUGAAUGGAAAGGCCGUCGCUCAACGGAUAAAAGCUACCCUGGGGAUAACAGGCUGAUCUCCCCCAAGAGUUCACAUCGACGGGGAGGUUUGGCACCUCGAUGUCGGCUCAUCGCAUCCUGGGGCUGUAGUCGGUCCCAAGGGUUGGGCUGUUCGCCCAUUAAAGCGGUACGCGAGCUGGGUUCAGAACGUCGUGAGACAGUUCGGUCCCUAUCUGUCGUGGGCGCAGGAAGUUUGAGAAGAUCUGUCCUCAGUACGAGAGGACCGGGAUGGACAUAUCAAUGGUGCACCAGUUGUCACGCCAGUGGCACAGCUGGGUAGCUAAAUAUGGAAGGGAUAAACGCUGAAGGCAUCUAAGUGUGAAACCCGCUUCAAGAUGAGACUUCCCAUUACGAAAGUAGGUAAGACCCCUUAAAGACGAUAAGGUUGA